RNAcentral lists this long non-coding RNA (635 nucleotides) under Homo sapiens (human). RNAcentral's name for it is "HSALNT0278150". Lineage: Eukaryota; Metazoa; Chordata; Mammalia; Primates; Hominidae. The record is from RNAcentral.
AAGUGAGCCACCACGCCUGGCCCUGACAUGUCAUUUUAAAUCUAUCGGAUUGGCAGAGUCCAAAGCAUUUGAUAACACUAUGUUACAAUAGUGUAGGUAAACACGUGCUCUCAUACUUUGCUUAUGAGUCUGUAAAAUGGUACUAUUUGUGGCUAGCAAUUUGUCAAUAUUUACUAAAUAUAAAAUAGAUCUGUCUCUGUCCCUCUAAUUCCACUUCUGAGAAAUUACUGUACGAUCUACUUAAAUGUAUACAAAAUAACAUAAAAACACUUAUCUAUGGAGGCAUUGAUGUAAUACCAAAUGAUUGGAAAUGAUCUAUUAUAAAUGUCCCCUAAUACGGGUUUGUUUUAAUAGUCCACACAAAGGAGCAUUCUAUAGCCUUUAAAAAGGAUGGGGACGGGAGCUAAGUGCAUUGAAACGAAGAGUCUUCCGUGUGGUAUAAGUGAUUAGAAGCAAGGUGUGUAAAGCCUGUUUCCCUUUGUGUGAAUAAGAAACAAACAAAAAAGGCUGGUGUAAGCAUAGUGGAUUAUCGGAACUUAUUAACAUCACUGUCACUAAAGUUGGUAUACAGCUUCCCACUGCUAAAUUUAACUGGCAAAAAACGAAACAAAACAAAACAUGUUUGCCGAGGCAGG